AUGGGUUGACCUGUGAAAAUAUAAUGUCCUGUUUUCAUUUGUCAGUUACCAGUUAGGCUUUAGAAACAUAAUAAAGUUAAAGUGUAUUUAAAAAUAUAGUUUGGAGAAAUGUGUGAAAGUGGUCAUGAAUUUCAAGGGUUGAAUGAUUAUAGUUAACUGUUUAAAAAUAUGUAGUUGUAGCCUACUAAUGCUUUUAUAAAAUGCUCAAAAUAUAUUUUAGAUUACAUCCUGUGAUAUCCAAGCCUUGUUUGUUUCUGUGUUUUCAAAGCUCCACACCAGUAGGUGGUGAUAAAGAAAACAGUGUAGGUACGCGUUAACACGUGAUAACGUGUUAACACGCACUUACGCGUUAACACGUAGUGCAUGUUAACACGUGAUUUUAACAUGUUUUGCCCUGUUGGCCUUCCAUACUAAUAGGGACUACAUCCUUGGCGGGGAGUUUAGACGUCAUCAUGACAGGAAAUCUGUCACUAGCCUUUCAGCCUCACAUUCACGUUCUCAGAAGUUUACCUUUCAAUUAAUAUACAUAACGUUAUAUAUGUAGUCUUUUCAAAUUGUAGUUUUUCCAAAUAUUGUUGUACUGUGGAGAGCGUGUAGUUUGACAUGUUUUGUUUUGUCCGGAGAUGCAACCACAAGUCGUCGAUGAAAGAUGCUCGUUUACCGUCCGAUGUUCCCCAGCGGAGACUGUUCGCGCCGUAAGACGAGCUGACCGGAUGUCCAGUGUCCAUUCUCGCAUCUGCAGCUGUCAUUUUCCUGCAGGGGAUAAAAUGUCCCCGUUUUGUUUAUAUCCACAAAUGAUGUUCCCACUGGACAAAUUUUGGAAGAUCAUUCAUACUCCCUGAGACAGGAUAGGGCUGAUGUGCCUAAAAAUGUUCCACCACCCAUUUAUAAAAAGGAAGAAAAUGGCUACAAUUUAUGGCUGACAAAGAUGAUGAACCAUCUCCGGCUGAUCAAACCCUCUCUAUCAAUUCUGAGGAACAACCAAAUAAAAGCACAACUGAAGAAGAGCUGCAGUCUGGACGAAGAAGAACCCAGCAAGCAAUAGCCGUCAUUUCAACGUCGUGUUUCAGUAUAGACCCGAUAUAGCCGCGCUGUGCCUAGCCCAUAUCUAGCCCAAAUAAACUUUAAUUUGGUUACAUGUGGUUUUUGACAAAAUAAUUUGUGAGAUGUAUGCUAUUUCAUCAUGUAAGCAAAGUUAACAGCGAUUACAAGGUAUAUCGUUUCAUUUCUUUAAAGUGUUUUAUGCAUCGUCUGUAUAGUAACAAUUUAGCUCAUAAAUAGACCGACUACGAAUAAACCACGUUUAGCCCACAAAUAACCAUGAAUUUAAUUACAUGUUGUUUUUCCAAAAUUAUUUGUGAGAUGUAUGAUAUUAAUCAUGUAAACAAAAUUCAAAGCGAUUACGGUAUUUUGUUUCAUUUUUUUUUUAAAGUGUUUUAUGCACCGUCUGUACUUAGCCACUAUUUAGCUUACAAAUAGACCGACUACGCAUAACCCACGUUUAGCCCAGAAAUAACCAUUAAUUUAAUUAUGUGGUUUUUGCCAAAUAACUUGUGAGAUGUAUGGUAUUUCAUUGUGUAAGCAAAGUUAACAGCGAUUACAAGGUUUGUUUAAUUUCUUUAAAGUGUUUUAUGCACCGUCGUACAUAGCCACUAUUUAGCUCAUAAAUAGACCGACUACGAACAAACCAUGUUUAGCUCAGAAUAACCUUGAAUUUAAUAAAAUUUUGUUUUUGCCAAAAUAAUUUGCAAGAUGUAUGAUAUUUCAUCAGGCAUGCAAAGACGCCAGUGAAUUCAAUAUGUUUGGUUUUAUUUAUCUUAUCUGAAUAUCUGCUGUCACGCAUAACAUUCAUUAUUUGACCGUAUUUCAAAGAUAAACAAAAUCCAGUUACAACUCCGAACCGCUAGAUGGCAGCUGCAGUACACAAACACGAGGCCAAAUCUCGCGAGAAAGACUUCCGCUGUUUGAAAAUCAACAACAUCAGCGAGAAGCCAGGAGGAAUGCAAUCUGCCACACUCGUUUGAUCUUUGUCAAAGCUGUGCGAAACUGGAGGGAGAAACUUGAGAGACCGUGCCGGAAGAAUGCUGGACAGAGUUCACUAAAAUUCAUUAAUUUCAAAGUUCAACAUGAAUGGUGGUGGUCCACUGCAGAAGCAAGCAUUUGAAAAAAAACAUCAGUUCUCAGUUAUUAAAGAUGCUGUGUUGAACAACUUCCCAGCAGCAACAGAACUGGAAGUGAAGGAUGCAAUGGGGGGAUUUCAAACAGGCACCAGGGAGGACGUGGUGUAUAGAAAUUAGUCCAAUUAAUAAGUUGAAGUGAACUGAAGAUAGUUUGUUAAUGUUUAGAUGUUAUUUCAUUUUUAAAAUUGUAUUUUGUUAUUUAUGCUUUUAUUUUGUUACUGUUUUUAUUCUUUUUGUUAAAAGUAGUUUUUCUUCAUUUUGUCUUAUCUGAAUUUCUAUUGUAUUAACAAUAUUUUUUUGUAAUAAAUUGCAUGAUUACAUGUUUAUGAGAACCUUUUUUAAUGGAUUAAAAAGAUUUCUUUAGCCA
This is a non-coding RNA of Misgurnus anguillicaudatus (oriental weatherfish), 2547 nucleotides long. The record is from RefSeq and is a predicted model, not a curated record. NCBI's taxonomy places the organism in Eukaryota, Metazoa, Chordata, Actinopteri, Cypriniformes, Cobitidae.